GCUGGCUCAGUGGUAGAGCUCUUGCCUUGCAUGCAUGAGGCCCUAGGUUUGAAUCCUCAGCA
RNAcentral lists this transfer RNA (62 nucleotides) under Dipodomys ordii (Ord's kangaroo rat). It matches the Rfam family "tRNA". Rfam says of the family: Transfer RNA (tRNA) molecules are approximately 80 nucleotides in length. Their secondary structure includes four short double-helical elements and three loops (D, anti-codon, and T loops). The record is from Rfam by way of RNAcentral. Lineage: Eukaryota; Metazoa; Chordata; Mammalia; Rodentia; Heteromyidae.